Molecule: ribosomal RNA, 2150 nt
Filed under: Escherichia coli
Lineage: Bacteria; Pseudomonadati; Pseudomonadota; Gammaproteobacteria; Enterobacterales; Enterobacteriaceae
Description: partial 23S ribosomal RNA
Rfam family: Bacterial large subunit ribosomal RNA
Source: RNAcentral
AGACCCGAAACCCGGUGAUCUAGCCAUGGGCAGGUUGAAGGUUGGGUAACACUAACUGGAGGACCGAACCGACUAAUGUUGAAAAAUUAGCGGAUGACUUGUGGCUGGGGGUGAAAGGCCAAUCAAACCGGGAGAUAGCUGGUUCUCCCCGAAAGCUAUUUAGGUAGCGCCUCGUGAAUUCAUCUCCGGGGGUAGAGCACUGUUUCGGCAAGGGGGUCAUCCCGACUUACCAACCCGAUGCAAACUGCGAAUACCGGAGAAUGUUAUCACGGGAGACACACGGCGGGUGCUAACGUCCGUCGUGAAGAGGGAAACAACCCAGACCGCCAGCUAAGGUCCCAAAGUCAUGGUUAAGUGGGAAACGAUGUGGGAAGGCCCAGACAGCCAGGAUGUUGGCUUAGAAGCAGCCAUCAUUUAAAGAAAGCGUAAUAGCUCACUGGUCGAGUCGGCCUGCGCGGAAGAUGUAACGGGGCUAAACCAUGCACCGAAGCUGCGGCAGCGACACUGUGUGUUGUUGGGUAGGGGAGCGUUCUGUAAGCCUGUGAAGGUGUACUGUGAGGUAUGCUGGAGGUAUCAGAAGUGCGAAUGCUGACAUAAGUAACGAUAAAGCGGGUGAAAAGCCCGCUCGCCGGAAGACCAAGGGUUCCUGUCCAACGUUAAUCGGGGCAGGGUGAGUCGACCCCUAAGGCGAGGCCGAAAGGCGUAGUCGAUGGGAAACAGGUUAAUAUUCCUGUACUUGGUGUUACUGCGAAGGGGGGACGGAGAAGGCUAUGUUGGCCGGGCGACGGUUGUCCCGGUUUAAGCGUGUAGGCUGGUUUUCCAGGCAAAUCCGGAAAAUCAAGGCUGAGGCGUGAUGACGAGGCACUACGGUGCUGAAGCAACAAAUGCCCUGCUUCCAGGAAAAGCCUCUAAGCAUCAGGUAACAUCAAAUCGUACCCCAAACCGACACAGGUGGUCAGGUAGAGAAUACCAAGGCGCUUGAGAGAACUCGGGUGAAGGAACUAGGCAAAAUGGUGCCGUAACUUCGGGAGAAGGCACGCUGAUAUGUAGGUGAAGUCCCUCGCGGAUGGAGCUGAAAUCAGUCGAAGAUACCAGCUGGCUGCAACUGUUUAUUAAAAACACAGCACUGUGCAAACACGAAAGUGGACGUAUACGGUGUGACGCCUGCCCGGUGCCGGAAGGUUAAUUGAUGGGGUCAGCGCAAGCGAAGCUCUUGAUCGAAGCCCCGGUAAACGGCGGCCGUAACUAUAACGGUCCUAAGGUAGCGAAAUUCCUUGUCGGGUAAGUUCCGACCUGCACGAAUGGCGUAAUGAUGGCCAGGCUGUCUCCACCCGAGACUCAGUGAAAUUGAACUCGCUGUGAAGAUGCAGUGUACCCGCGGCAAGACGGAAAGACCCCGUGAACCUUUACUAUAGCUUGACACUGAACAUUGAGCCUUGAUGUGUAGGAUAGGUGGGAGGCUUUGAAGUGUGGACGCCAGUCUGCAUGGAGCCGACCUUGAAAUACCACCCUUUAAUGUUUGAUGUUCUAACGUGGACCCGUGAUCCGGGUUGCGGACAGUGUCUGGUGGGUAGUUUGACUGGGGCGGUCUCCUCCUAAAGAGUAACGGAGGAGCACGAAGGUUGGCUAAUCCUGGUCGGACAUCAGGAGGUUAGUGCAAUGGCAUAAGCCAGCUUGACUGCGAGCGUGACGGCGCGAGCAGGUGCGAAAGCAGGUCAUAGUGAUCCGGUGGUUCUGAAUGGAAGGGCCAUCGCUCAACGGAUAAAAGGUACUCCGGGGAUAACAGGCUGAUACCGCCCAAGAGUUCAUAUCGACGGCGGUGUUUGGCACCUCGAUGUCGGCUCAUCACAUCCUGGGGCUGAAGUAGGUCCCAAGGGUAUGGCUGUUCGCCAUUUAAAGUGGUACGCGAGCUGGGUUUAGAACGUCGUGAGACAGUUCGGUCCCUAUCUGCCGUGGGCGCUGGAGAACUGAGGGGGGCUGCUCCUAGUACGAGAGGACCGGAGUGGACGCAUCACUGGUGUUCGGGUUGUCAUGCCAAUGGCACUGCCCGGUAGCUAAAUGCGGAAGAGAUAAGUGCUGAAAGCAUCUAAGCACGAAACUUGCCCCGAGAUGAGUUCUCCCUGACCCUUUAAGGGUCCUGAAGGAACGUU